This 253-nucleotide ribosomal RNA is filed under the name uncultured bacterium. Its description in RNAcentral is "partial 16S ribosomal RNA". It matches the Rfam family "Bacterial small subunit ribosomal RNA", at positions 524 to 776 of the family's 1533-position model. The record is from RNAcentral.
UACGUAGGCAGCAAGCGUUGUUCGGAGUUACUGGGCGUAAAGGGUGUGUAGGCGGUUGUUUAAGUUUGGUGUGAAAUCUCCCGGCUCAACUGGGAGGGUGCGCCGAAUACUGAAUGACUAGAGUGCGGGAGAGGAAAGUGGAAUUCCUGGUGUAGCGGUGAAAUGCGUAGAUAUCAGGAGGAACACCGGUGGUGUAGACGGCUUUCUGGACCGUAACUGACGCUGAGGAACGAAAGCUAGGGGAGCAAACAGG